AUUGCAGGAUAGUGUGUAUCGGUGUUAUGCCCUCCUAAGAUGGAUUUCUUGCCGAAAGUGUUUCCUGCUACAGUAAUUUCGGGGAAAAUGGGCAGUUGAGUUAAACCCUAGUCUAUUGGGUAUCUCAACAAUCAUUUUCCUCAUACUU
Small nucleolar RNA from Elaeis guineensis (African oil palm), 148 nucleotides. RefSeq annotates it as small nucleolar RNA snoR135. Lineage: Eukaryota; Viridiplantae; Streptophyta; Magnoliopsida; Arecales; Arecaceae. The record is from RefSeq and is a predicted model, not a curated record.